Molecule: small RNA, 29 nt
Filed under: Bombyx mori (domestic silkworm)
Lineage: Eukaryota; Metazoa; Arthropoda; Insecta; Lepidoptera; Bombycidae
Description: piRNA piR-bmo-1882980
Source: RNAcentral
UGAAACUCAGGACACAAGAUCGCGACGGC